RNAcentral lists this small RNA (83 nucleotides) under Marmota monax (woodchuck). Lineage: Eukaryota; Metazoa; Chordata; Mammalia; Rodentia; Sciuridae. The record is from RNAcentral.
GCUGGGUGCAGUGGUGUACACCUGUAAUCCCAGCAGCUCGGGAGGCCGAGGCAGGAGGAUCAUGAGUUUAAAGCCAGCCUCAG